RNAcentral lists this ribosomal RNA (377 nucleotides) under uncultured eukaryote. RNAcentral's name for it is "partial 18S ribosomal RNA". It matches the Rfam family "Eukaryotic small subunit ribosomal RNA", at positions 592 to 976 of the family's 1831-position model. The record is from RNAcentral.
CAAUAGCGUAUAUUUAAGUUGCUGCAGUUAAAAAGCUCGUAGUUGGAUUUCGGGUGGGAAUGGCCGGUCCGCCGUUUCGGUGUGCACUUGCUACGCCCACCUUGCUGCCGGGGACGUGCUCUUGAGUUCACGCUCGGGACACGGAGUCGGCGAGGUUACUUUGAGUAAAUUAGAGUGUUCAAAGCAGGCCUACGCUCUGAAUACAUUAGCAUGGAAUAACACGAUAGGACUCUGGCCUAUCUUGUUGGUCUGUAGGACCGGAGUAAUGAUUAAGAGGGACAGUCGGGGGCAUUCGUAUUUCAUUGUCAGAGGUGAAAUUCUUGGAUUUAUGAAAGACGAACUACUGCGAAAGCAUUUGCCAAGGAUGUUUUCAUUGA